RNAcentral lists this transfer RNA (63 nucleotides) under Daldorfia horrida. RNAcentral describes it as "tRNA-Arg". The record is from RNAcentral. Lineage: Eukaryota; Metazoa; Arthropoda; Malacostraca; Decapoda; Parthenopidae.
AAUUAGAAAGCGAAUUAUUGCAUUUAGUUUCGACCUAAAUCUUGGCCAUCAUGCCUCUAAUUU